Molecule: transfer RNA, 74 nt
Filed under: Tsukamurella tyrosinosolvens
Lineage: Bacteria; Bacillati; Actinomycetota; Actinomycetes; Mycobacteriales; Tsukamurellaceae
Description: tRNA-Val(cac)
Rfam family: tRNA
About the family: Transfer RNA (tRNA) molecules are approximately 80 nucleotides in length. Their secondary structure includes four short double-helical elements and three loops (D, anti-codon, and T loops). Further hydrogen bonds mediate the characteristic L-shaped molecular structure. tRNAs have two regions of fundamental functional importance: the anti-codon, which is responsible for specific mRNA codon recognition, and the 3' end, to which the tRNAs corresponding amino acid is attached (by aminoacyl-tRNA synthetases). tRNAs cope with the degeneracy of the genetic code in two manners: having more than one tRNA (with a specific anti-codon) for a particular amino acid; and 'wobble' base-pairing, i.e. permitting non-standard base-pairing at the 3rd anti-codon position.
Source: RNAcentral
GGUCCCCUAGCUCAGCUGGGAGAGCGCUCCGUUCACACCGGAGAGGUCGUCGGUUCAAGUCCGGCGGGGACUAC